Hortaea werneckii EXF-2000 is the source of this 90-nucleotide non-coding RNA. The record is from Rfam. NCBI's taxonomy places the organism in Eukaryota, Fungi, Ascomycota, Dothideomycetes, Mycosphaerellales, Teratosphaeriaceae.
UGCUCUGAUGAUAUUGUGACAAACGGCAUUCCUCGAACCGAAACGCCAUGUCGAAUUUUGUCAAAAAAUAAGUUUCAGCCUUGUCUGAUU